UUUUCUUGCAACUUGACUUUAAUCAGAUCCAUCAUACAAUUUCGACAAAAUUGUAUACGCUGCUUAUUCGAUGCAUUUUUGCACAAAAUGAACAAAAAAGUAUGGCAGAUAAAAGUUCUACUCCAUCUUGCGAAGCAAUAAAUUUAUCGUUAAAGUUAAACUUUAACGAUAAAUAGUGAAACUAACAGAUAUGUAUAUUAUCAAACCUAUUAUUGACAAAAUACAUAGCGAUAUGUUUCCUGUUUUGAUCCGCACAACUACAUAUUUUUAUAUUUAAAUAAUGUAUUUCUUAAGUAAAUUUAAAGAUAAUUUAUUAUUUGGGCUGCUAGUUUUACAUACAUUUCUAGUUACAAAAGUCACCUAGCAUAUGUGUAAAUCAUGCAAUAUAUAAAGGCAGUUAUAAACUUAUAAAUAUAAUUUAUAAAGACGUAUCAUAUUAAAACUAAUUUUAUAUUACAGGAUUCAGCCAAUUAUUCUUACAUCAGUCGGACAACUGUUCUUCUUAAAAUUUAAAAGAACGUAAAGAAUAACUGAAGUUUAUAAAAGCUGAAGAAAUUUUCACAAGGAUUAGAACAGAAAACUGAACUCAAAUGGAAGCGCUUGCACUCUCAUGUCACUAUCAUGUCCUGACAAUUUCGGAUUUUAUAAAACUAUAGGAGAUAUUGUGAUUGACGUUGAGAUUGUGAUUGACAUCUGGAGCAGAGCUAUAAUUUUGUUUAACAUUACGUGAAGUUUAUU
Monomorium pharaonis (pharaoh ant) is the source of this 738-nucleotide long non-coding RNA. RefSeq lists it as uncharacterized. Lineage: Eukaryota; Metazoa; Arthropoda; Insecta; Hymenoptera; Formicidae. The record is from RefSeq and is a predicted model, not a curated record. The transcript has 3 exons.